CUGGAAUGAAUGGUAUAGGUGGUGGGGUGGUUUGAAAGACGGGAACGUAGCGGGCGGAAACUCUCGAAAAGCGACUGCGCAGGCGCGCGCCGGGCGCGGACGCUCACGGGUCACCCAGGGUAUCCGCCCCAAGCGGAGAAUAUCGGCGCAAGCGCGGAGUAGCCGUGUCACGCAUGCGUGCGAACGCACCACAUUCCGGAACGGGAAGAAGGAGCUGUCUCUCUCUUCUGAGGGGUAGGCAGGUGCUUCCGAAUCGCGGAAUGUAGGUGCUCAUAAGCUGGAGACCCACGGAAAGAACCUAGAAGCUCCGAGCGGUUGCAGACAGCACUGCAUUGAGCCAACGACUCCUGCUCUACUGAUGGUGAUUCCACAGCUUUGUGAGGAAUAAGUUAAGAUGAAUUACAGUUUCCCCUGGACUUCUUUCUCUCUCCUGCCGCCUUGUGAAGAAGGUGCCUGCCUCCCCUUCCACCACGAUUCUAAGUUUCCUGAAGUCUCCCCAGCCAUGCUGAACUAAUGUUAUCUUAUCUGGAAGAAGAGGAAUAGGAAAGAAAAGGAGUCAGGAAUGGAUCUUACUCAGAAGGCUGACUAGACACAGCCAGGUGGAAGAGCUCCCACUGCGGGACCAAGAUGACUGGAAUGCCCCUAACAGAUCUUCAGAGGGAAGAAACCAGGAGUGGACAGAGAGAAGACACAGAAGCUGGGCUGAAGGUAGUGAAAGCUGGGAAUGUGGCACAGGACUACUGCACACCAGGUUUUGUUCCUGGCCCACAAUGGCUCUGGGGGAUCAGGUUGAAGGAAAAUUACCCUGGAUGGAAGAUCAGAGGUAUAGAAAGAAAUGGAGAGCAAAGAAAGAGAGUCUCGCUCUAGGCUGGAGUCCUGUGGCCCAAUCUCGACUUACUGCAACCUCCACCUCCUGGGCUCAAGUGAUUCUCCUACCUCAGCCUCAGGUAGCUGAGACUUACAGGGGCGUGCCACCACACCUGGCUAAUUUUUGUGUUUUUAGUAGAGGCGGGCUUUCACCAUAUUGACUAGGCUGGUCUUGAACUGCUGACCUUAAGUGAUCCACCCACCUUGGCUUCCCUGGGAUUACAGACGUGAGCCAUCACACCCAGCCAAUGUAGCCAAUGUAGUAAAAUAUUAUUAUUUUCUUUCUUUUUACUUUUCUUUUUCUUUUUUUUUUUUGAGAGGGAUUCUUGCUCUGUGGCCCGGGCUGGAGUGCAGUGGCGUGAUCUCGGCUCACUUCAACCUCCGCCUCCUGGGUUCAAGCAAUUCUCCUGCCUCAGCCUCCCCAGUAGCUGGGAUUACAGGCGUGUGCCACCAUGCCCGGUUAAGUUUUGUAUCUUUAGUAGAGAUGGGGUUUCAUAUGUUGGCCAGGCUGGUCUCCAUCUCCUGACCUCAAGUGAUUUGCCCGCCUCAGCCUCCCAAAGUGCUAGGAUUACAGACGUGAGCCACCACAUCCAGCCCAAUGUAGUAAAGUAUUCUAAGGCCUUUGUAUUGUCCUGGAGGAGGUUAAAAUAAUAUCAGACUUUGUUAAGUUGAGAUAGAUGUCAUAAUCUCUAAGGCAAUCAUUAAAAAACAAAGCAAUAUAAUAUAUAACUUAGAAACUAAUUGGGAGUAUAGAAUUAUAAAAAAUAAUAAAUAUAUUCAAAAGAAAGCAACACUUUUCUCCUAAAGUUUGUGUUACCCUAUAUACCACCUUUUAUCUUUAACACAUGCCAACAUUCCUUAAUCACCUUAUGCAAAAAGAAGGGUUUAUUAUGUUAGGGUAAAAACAAAAAGGUCUUUAAGUAACAUUUAGGAGUAAGGAGAACACUCAUUCUAUCAGCUUUGGGGUUAAGGGAGGAUAAGAACAUAAA
Molecule: long non-coding RNA, 1856 nt
Filed under: Homo sapiens (human)
Lineage: Eukaryota; Metazoa; Chordata; Mammalia; Primates; Hominidae
Description: HSALNT0017924
Source: RNAcentral